CUAUGCCGGCAUGAUAAAAUUUAGUAAGGCAUGGACGGCAUGGUAAUACUCCAUGCCAUGCCGAACCGACCCCAUGCCGUGGUAUGAGGACUUUUUAAGCGGCAAGAUCGAGCAUGGCCACUGAUGGACUGGCAUAAGGACGGCAUAGAGAUUUCAGGCCGCGGCAUGGAGCUUUUUUUGACUGUGUACCUUUUAAUUCCAUCAAGAGACAAGUCUGAUGAAGACAAGGCCAAUUUCAAAACUUUGAUGAACAUAUAGUCAAAGGAAGUAGAGAAGGAAAAGUUGUUGGCAUUUUGAAAAAAGACUUGGAUUAUUGUAACGACAACUUUGUCAAAUCUUUCAAAAAUGCUAUGAAGAGAGAAAACUUUGAAAUUUUUGAUGCAACGAAAACAUUGGUGUAUUGUAUGGGACAAAAAGAUGACCAGGAGUUGAGUGCCAUAAGAAAAGCCUUUCGAAGUUUCUGUUGACUUGUAUCACCGUUAUUUGAAAGUUCAAAUUGAGGACGUAAUUCGUUCUAAGGAAAAAGUUAAACAUUCGGAGUUGUCCGAGAAAACUGAGGAGGCCAUCAACGAUAAGCAGUUCACAUCAGACUGCAACACUAAUUAUCUAGACAUGAGCUACUCUCCUAUCAUUCAAUCUGGUGGGAGCUAUGCUUUGACAUUCAGUGCUGAAAGUGAUGAAAAACUUUUUGGUAAACAGGAAGCCAAAUCGACAGGACAACCCACAAACAUUGUUAUGGUGAUGAAAGCUGCUUGCAUUUUGGGGCUAUUUUGUGCUCAUUGGGGACUUAAUAUAAGCACUUCUGCUCCAAUGUUGCUCGUACACUGGUCGUAAACCCGUCGGAAGAAAUAGACCAAUUGUAUGAACUACUUGUGGAUCUGCAAAGGGAGGUCCUGAAACAACUUGUUGCUGGAGCUGAAAUUGCAAAAGUGUAUCAAGCAGGAGUCGAGUUCAUCAAGACAACUCGACCGGAUAUGCUUGCAAAUUUUACCAAACACUGGCGUUUGAUGCAACGAAAGCAUUGGCGUAUUGUAUGGGACAAAAAGAUGACCAGGAGUUGAGUGCCAUAAGAAAAGCCUUCGAAGUUUCUGUUGACUUGUAUCAUCGUUAUUUGAAAGUUCAAAUUGAGGACAUAAUUCGUUCUAAGAAAAAAGUUAAACAUUCGGAGUUGUCCGAGAAAACUGAGGAGGCCAUCAACGAUAAGCAGUUCACAUCAGACUGCAACACUAAUUAUCUAGACAUGAGCUACUCAUGAACUACUACAUGAGGCUAAGAAAAGCCUUCGAAGUUUCUGUUGACUUGUAUCAUCGUUAUUUGAAAGUUCAAAUUGAGGACAUAAUUCGUUCUAAGAAAAAAGUUAAACAUUCGGAGUUGUCCGAGAAAACUGAGGAGGCCAUCAACGAUAAGCAGUUCACAUCAGACUGCAACACUAAUUAUCUAGACAUGAGCUACUCUCCUAUCAUUCAAUCAGGUGGGAGCUAUGCCUUGACAUUCAGUGCUGAAAGUGAUGAAAAACUUUUUGGUAAACAGGAAGCCAAAUCGACAGGACAACCCACAAACAUUGUUAUGGGUCCAGGAAGCAAGGUGAACAUUUUGGGCGACAUUCCAAAAGUGAAGCAUGAAGAAAUCUGCGAACAUGACGAAAACCACAAAAUGUUUAAUUGCUCCUUGUAAAAAAGGAAAGACUUUGCCAAAAGUAUGCUAGACUUGCUUUUAAGUAGAGCGGCCAUAGAUGUAGGUUCACAAGACGAAAAGAAAUGUCGCCAGCAUCUCCACAAGACUUACAUUAAAUUGAAAGAGAGCAAGCCGACCGAAAGCAAAUACUUCCUCCCUUCCAGCUUGGACAAACCAGAAGAUUUGUGUCGUGUCUGCUUCAAACUGUAUGCUAAGUUUUUCCAUGUGUCUGUAGAAGAGAUCCGAAAAGAAAAAGCAAAAUGAAGCUGAAUUUAAUGUUCAAAAUGGAAAUAAAUUUAUA
Molecule: long non-coding RNA, 1975 nt
Organism: Neocloeon triangulifer
Lineage: Eukaryota; Metazoa; Arthropoda; Insecta; Ephemeroptera; Baetidae
Exons: 12
Source: RefSeq, a predicted model, not a curated record